AGUGGGCGGGGCUCUCCUCCUGCUCUGUGUUCAACAUUCAGUCAAUAAGAAGUGGUGCUGUGAAGAGAACAAUUGUCAGAGUGAAUGUUGAACAUCAGCUAGUUUCUCCUGUUGAUUGAAACCUUGUUGUACAGAUGGAACAUUGGCUGUGGAUUCUUCUUGCUGCUCUUUUCUUUGAGUGUAAAGGAGAAGACAAAGUGAUCCAACCAGGAGGAGAAGUCAUUGCUGCUGAAGGAGACUCUGUCACACUCAGCUGUACCUUUGAGACCAGUGAUGCAUAUGCUUAUUUGUUCUGGUACAAACAAGAAGUGAACAGUUACCCAAAGUACAUGUUGAAACGUGACACCUAUGGAACAGAAGAAAACGCUCCAGAGUUCAAGGAAGACAGAUUUGAUGCUGAAUUCAAAGACAAAUCAGUUCCCCUAAAGAUCCAUAAUCAUCAUGUGUCAGACUCUGCUG
Long non-coding RNA from Oryzias melastigma (Indian medaka), 459 nucleotides. RefSeq lists it as uncharacterized. NCBI's taxonomy places the organism in Eukaryota, Metazoa, Chordata, Actinopteri, Beloniformes, Adrianichthyidae. The record is from RefSeq and is a predicted model, not a curated record. The transcript has 3 exons.